UACGGGGGGUGCGAGCGUUGUCCGGAAUCACUGGGCGUAAAGGGCGCGUAGGUGGCGUCGUAAGUCUGUGGUGAAAGCCCGGAGCUCAACUCCGGGUCUGCCGCGGAUACUGCGAGGCUUAAGUGCUGUAGAGGGGGGUAGAAUGCCGGGUGUAGCGGUGGAAUGCGUAGAGAUCCGGCAGAAGACCGGUGGCGAAGGCGGCCCCCUGGGCAGUAACUGACACUGAGGCGCGACAGCGUGGGGAGCAAACAGG
RNAcentral lists this ribosomal RNA (253 nucleotides) under uncultured bacterium. RNAcentral describes it as "partial 16S ribosomal RNA". It matches the Rfam family "Bacterial small subunit ribosomal RNA", at positions 524 to 776 of the family's 1533-position model. The record is from RNAcentral.